This is a long non-coding RNA of Perognathus longimembris pacificus (Pacific pocket mouse), 520 nucleotides long. RefSeq lists it as uncharacterized. The record is from RefSeq and is a predicted model, not a curated record. The transcript is spliced from 2 exons. Lineage: Eukaryota; Metazoa; Chordata; Mammalia; Rodentia; Heteromyidae.
CGCAUGCGGGGCCGGGCAGGCGGGCGGGCAGCGGGCGGGGGCCGCGCGCGCUGGCACUUACGGUUCGGGCGGUGGGUGAGAGCGAUCCGUUGGGGAGCCGUGGCCCCGCUCGCACUCUCCGGCCGCCCGGCCCCGCAUGCGGCGCCCGUCGCCCCCCGAGCCCCGACUCCUCGCCUUCCAGCCACGUUUGCCCAGCCCGGGGAAGAGAUCGAAACCCCGGCAGCCCGAGGGGCUCUUCCUACCUCGGAAUCGGAGGAGCUGUUCUGAUUCGUUUCUGAUUCAUUGACUAGCGACGACUUGACAUCGGCUAAAUCCCUCUCCGCCGAGGAGUUUUCCGAGCUCUUCUCCUCCUGCUCGCCCUCGUCUUUGAAGGAGAUCAGUUCGUCGUUGGCGCCUAGGUCAUCUCCUCCACCGCCGUUCAGCUGCGGCAUUUUUUUUUGUCACCCACCAGCAGCAAUUUUGGAAGAAAAAUGAAGGAAGAAGAAAAGCCAGAAAAAUAAUAAUAAACCACCUCCCCCCC